Molecule: ribosomal RNA, 430 nt
Filed under: Chytridiomycota sp.
Lineage: Eukaryota; Fungi; Chytridiomycota
Description: SSU rRNA
Rfam family: Eukaryotic small subunit ribosomal RNA
Source: RNAcentral
CCUUAAUCUGCUAAAUAGUUGCAUUCACUUUGGUGGAUGAUCAGCUUCUUAGAGAGACUAUGUACGUUUAGUACGUGGAAGUUUGAGGCAAUAACAGGUCUGUGAUGCCCUUAGAUGUUCUGGGCCGCACGCGCGCUACACUGACAAAGGCAGCAAGUAUUCACCUUGGCCGGAAGGCCUGGGUAAUCUUUUGAAACUUUGUCGUGCUGGGGAUAGUCCCUUGCAAUUAUUGGACUUGAACGAGGAAUUCCUAGUAAGUGCAAGUCAUCAGCUUGCGUUGAUUACGUCCCUGCCCUUUGUACACACCGCCCGUCGCUACUACCGAUUGAAUGGCUUAGUGAGACCUCCGGAUUGGCUUUUUUUGGGCCGCGAGGCCCGAAAGUUGUUGAGAAGUUGGUCAAACUUGGUCAUUUAGAGGAAGUAAAAGUCG